GACGAACGCUGGCGGCGUGCCUAAUACAUGCAAGUCGAACGCUGAAGGAGGAGCUUGCUUCUCUGGAUGAGUUGCGAACGGGUGAGUAACGCGUAGGUAACCUGCCUGGUAGCGGGGGAUAACUAUUGGAAACGAUAGCUAAUACCGCAUAAGAGUAGAUGUUGCAUGACAUUUGCUUAAAAGGUGCAAUUGCAUCACUACCAGAUGGACCUGCGUUGUAUUAGCUAGUUGGUGGGGUAACGGCUCACCAAGGCGACGAUACAUAGCCGACCUGAGAGGGUGAUCGGCCAAACUGGGACUGAGACACGGCCAAGACUCCUAAGGGAGGAAGCAGGAGGGAAACUUCGGCAAUGGACGGAAGUCUGAACGAGAAACGCCGCGGGAGUGAAGAAGGAUAUCGGAUCGUAAAGCUCUGUUGUAAGAGAAGAACGAGUGUGAGAGUGGAAAGUUCACAAUGUGACGGUAGCUUAACAGAAAGGGACGGCUAACUACGUG
This 495-nucleotide ribosomal RNA is filed under the name uncultured bacterium. Its description in RNAcentral is "partial 16S ribosomal RNA". It matches the Rfam family "Bacterial small subunit ribosomal RNA", at positions 28 to 507 of the family's 1533-position model. The record is from RNAcentral.